AGCCCUUCAGACACUUGCUGUCUCCC
This 26-nucleotide unclassified non-coding RNA is filed under the name Mus musculus (house mouse). RNAcentral's name for it is "oocyte_clustered_small_RNA6966". The record is from RNAcentral. Lineage: Eukaryota; Metazoa; Chordata; Mammalia; Rodentia; Muridae.